CCCUUAGAUGUUCUGGGCCGCACGCGCGCUACACUGACGAAUGCAACGAGCUUAUAACCUUGGCCGAAAGGUCUGGGUAAUCUCCAAAUUUCGUCGUGAUGGGGAUAGAUUAUUGCAAUUAUUAAUCUUCAACGAGGAAUGCCUAGUAAGCGCAAGUCAUCAGCUUGCGUUGAUUACGUCCCUGCCCUUUGUACACACCGCCCGUCGCUCCUACCGAUUGAAUGGUCCGGUGAAGCGCUCGGACCGCGGCCUCUUGACGGGUCUCCGUCGAUUGGCUGUGGGAAGUUCGUUAAACCUUAUCAUUUAGAGGAAGGAGAAGUCGUANCA
This 327-nucleotide ribosomal RNA is filed under the name uncultured eukaryote. RNAcentral's name for it is "partial 18S ribosomal RNA". It matches the Rfam family "Eukaryotic small subunit ribosomal RNA", at positions 1470 to 1796 of the family's 1831-position model. The record is from RNAcentral.